AUGAACAGAAGGGAGUCGACAAGUAGAUACGGACCCCUCGUUGGUGCAAUUGAUGAAGGAACAAGCAGUGCUAAAUUUUUGGUUUUUGCUGCUGAUACAGCUGAAGUAUUAACAUAUCAUCAGUGCCCAAUAUCACAGUUUUGUCCAAAAGAUGGAUGGGUUGAACAAGAUCCUAUAGAAAUAUUAAAAGCAGUUAGAGAAUGCCUCUAUCAUACAGUGUAUAAUUUAAAACGGCUUACCAUAGAUCCAAAUGACAUAGUUGCAGUUGGUAUAACAAACCAAAGAGAAACUACGGUUGUAUGGGACUCAGUUACUGGAGAACCAUUAUAUAAUGCUAUAGUAUGGAUGGAUAUGAGAACUACUUCAAUGGUGGAUGAUGUAUUAAAAAAGAUACGUAAUAAAAAUAAAAAUUAUUUGAAACCACUUUGUGGCUUACCAAUUAGUCCAUAUUUCAGUGCUUUAAAAUUAAAAUGGUUAAUAGAAAAUGUACCUCGAGUUCGUAAGGCUCUGGAUCAAAAACGAUGCAUGUUUGGCACAAUUGAUUCUUGGUUAAUUUGGAAUUUAACUGGAGGAAUAGAUAUUGGCAUUCAUGCUACUGAUGUCACAAAUGCUUCAAGGACAAUGCUAAUGAAUAUCACAACUUUGAAAUGGGACCCAACAUUGUUAUCUUUUUUUGACAUACCUCCAGAAAUUUUACCUGAAAUUCGUAGUUCAUCAGAAAUAUAUGGUUAUAUACAAGAUAAUGUUUUAUUGGGAGUACCAAUAUCAGGAUGUUUAGGUGAUCAGCAGUCAGCAUUGGUCGGUCAAAUGUGUUUACAAAAAGGACAAGCAAAAAGUACUUAUGGUACAGGCUGUUUUCUUUUGUACAAUACAGGGACUGCUAUUGUAGAUUCAACUCAUGGGUUAUUGACAACAGUUGCUUACCAAUUUGGACCACAAGCAGCACCAGUAUAUGCUCUUGAAGGCUCUGUAGCUAUAGCUGGUGCUGUUAUUCAAUGGUUGAAAGAUAAUCUUGGAAUAUUGUCUGAUGUAAGAGAGUCUGAGACUCUUGUUGAACAAAUUCCUAGCGAUAAUCGUAUUACGUUUGUACCUGCAUUUGCUGGAUUAUAUGCUCCAUAUUGGAGAAAAGAUGCAAGGAGUGUUAUAUGUGGGAUUACUGAAGAUACUAAUAGUACACAUAUUAUAAAGGCAGCUUUGCAAGCCAUUUGUUUUCAGACAAGAGACAUUUUAGAAGCUAUGAAAGAAAACACUGGUUUAAUUUUAUCUAAAUUGUUGGUAGAUGGUGCCAUGACCAACAAUAAUUUGUUAAUGCAAAUGCAAGCAGAUAUUUGUGGAAUUCCAGUUGUGAGGCCUUUGAUGUGUGAAACUACUGCACUUGGGGUUGCAAUAGCUGCAGGAAAUGCAGAUGGUAUACGUAAAUGGGACUUAAAAAUAGAUGCUUCUGUACCAAAUGACACCUUUCUACCUUCAAUAACUGAAAAUGAACGAGAUAUAUUAUAUUCACAAUGGAAAAUGGCUAUUAAUCGUAGUUUAGGUUGGGAACCAGUAAAUAAUACUAAUGAUGACACAGGAAAUAUCCACAAAGCAACUGCUCCUGCUAUUUUUGUAAUAGGUACAAUUCUUUUGCUUAUGAUUGCCAAGUAUCAUUCUGUGUUAUGACUGAAUGAGUACAGUACCGUGUACAUAAUGCAUUUAGGCAGGUCCUGUUUGCUAACAAAUAUUUAGAUUAUUAUUUAAUGAGUUGACUAUAAUUUGCAUCGUCAAAUGGUAGUCGACCAUAAACCAUUGCAUAAAGUACUACACC
Eufriesea mexicana is the source of this 1804-nucleotide RNA transcript. It is a transcript of the gene named glycerol kinase, with no coding region annotated. The transcript has 11 exons. NCBI's taxonomy places the organism in Eukaryota, Metazoa, Arthropoda, Insecta, Hymenoptera, Apidae. The record is from RefSeq and is a predicted model, not a curated record.